AAUCAGAUUGGUCAAAGUGCUGUCAUAAUUCAUCAAUCGAGUUCGCGAAUUGUAUUCUACGGAGUGUUAACAUGUAAAUGUGAUACGGGAAAUAACAAAUAUUCAUUUUAUUCAAACGAGACACAUUAUUUUAAUAAGUUCUUGCAUAAGAAAUCAUAUCGCAACCAGAUACUCAACAUUACCAACAAUUAAAAUGUAGUAGAUAUGCUGAACUGUACACCUUUCGUUGCAGAAGAAACGCGAGCAAGUGAGGCACUGAAUGAAAUGUAAAAGCUAUUAACUCCCUAAUUUAGUUCAUAUGAAAAGUGGCAACCAUGGCCUAAGGCAAUCUAAAUUCCACUGGAAGCACAUUCUUCCAUAAAUGGUUAAUCCGAAAUAGCCAUCCGUUAUACCCGUAAUACCCUGUAGCAAGUAACAUAAGCAGGCGAUGUUUCACCUACAUAGCAAAGUGUACACAGAUAACAUAAACACACCGAACAGAACAGGAAAACAAGAAGGAGCCGAAGGAGAAGGAAUGGUGUGCACGUUCAUUGCAUCAGACGUCUAAAUCGAAAUCGCAACGAAUUCAAUGCUUACUUAACCCACGCCGCAGUGCUAAUUCCGUCAACUUACAUUUAACCGCCCACAAUUUUAGCACUCACAUAUUGCAAGUGGGCGGAUUAUUGUGAUUGGCACCGCCCAGCUGGUGGAGUAGAUGCACUAGUAACGAAACGCUAUCAACCGGAAGUGACGACAACAACGGACAACGCCUAAAAGCAUACUGUGGAAUUUUAUUUCUUUAUUUGUCACGCUUGCUUGAUUUUAUUUUUAAUUAUCCGGCGCUGGCUGUGAAAAUGAAUUCCGCGAAUGGCAAACCAACAUGAACAACCAUAAAGAAAUGCAAAGUCAGCCAAAGCAGCAUCAAUCCCGGCUGGGUGGCCACCGAGAUCGUUCCGGACGAAACGAAGGCCAAGCUGGGCGAGGUAAUCCUCCAGGCGGACGACGUCGCUCAGGCUGUACUGUACGCCCUAUCCACGCCACCGCACACUCAGGUGGAGCAGAUAACGCUGAGGGCGGUGGGCGAAUAUUUCUGAUAGCCCGACAACACAACGCAGCCCCCGAGAUUAGGCAAUCGACUUGCAGUGGAACAGUAAAAAUCAAAUAAAGGCGAACGACCCGAUCCGACAUGGCGCACAUGACACACGGCGAGAUACUCACAUACCCCCCCACAUUUGGUUUGCCACAAACUGUUGGCACUCACCUCGUUUCGUUUUAUUUUUAUUAUUGUGUUCAGUUACUACGUAGUAUAUACAUAUAUGUAUCUAUAUAUGGCAUAUGUGUUCAGCACCUUUCCUCAAGCCAAAUAAAUAAUUCAGUUUUGUGAACUAAC
Non-coding RNA from Drosophila melanogaster (fruit fly), 1369 nucleotides. NCBI's taxonomy places the organism in Eukaryota, Metazoa, Arthropoda, Insecta, Diptera, Drosophilidae. The record is from Ensembl.